GCCGCCAGAAAAUAGUUCCACCCAAGGAGGAAGCAGUCAUCGAAGAAGAGCUCGAUUUUAGAUCACUGGCAUUAUUUCCUGCUUUUGUAUAAUAUGUGCCUAAUAAUUAAAAUAAUUUAGUUGUUCACGAUGAAUUAUUUGCUGCUAUACAGCUGGCCAAUUUGAUGGCGGAUGGAUAUGUACAGUAUUUUCCGUCGCACAGUCACGCAGCUUCAGUUCAAUGGAGAAGGGCGGUGGCGAGAGGUGGGUGACCCGCCGCCAGUACUUAUACUGACGUUUUCCCUGGCAAAUACUCUUCUUGUCACUAUAAGCUCCGGUAAAAGUCCGGAGAUGAGGCAAACAUCAACGCAGACCACACAGAACAUCGACAGCUGUGCAACGCUCCGAUAGAGAAGUGUCAAACUCUGGUCGACAAAGCCAAUAUCUUUCAGAAGCGAAGUCAGCACAGCUUGCAACAUCUGAUCAUAAAAUGAGGUUCCCCAAACAAAAGUUAUCUACAAUGAAACGUAACCAUUGGUGGCAUAUCACAUGGUGACACAUCGCUGAUGACAUCAAUGUUUAUUUUUUUAGGGCUUUGUCAGAACAUCCAACUUACUCACUCUGGGUUUGUUAGUCAGGUCUAUCAUUACAGCUGUCCAGCCUCUUGGAAACCCAGACUUCGGGGACUGUGCCUCUGGCUCAGUGGGGGCUGGUUCAGCUUAGUUAGAUGGGUCUGUUGGAUGUUUGGACAAUUGAAAGUUACAAAUUUGAAGGUUUUGUCUAAUGCCAAGUAAUACUGCUGUCAUCUGAACAACAGAAGCGGUUAACAUCCUGGAGCUUGUCCACAGUUGCCAUUGACUUCAAGUCAUUUAAAAUCACGAUGAAAUGGAUGGUCUUCAAUCAUGUCAGGCAGUUUGAUGAAUGCCUCUGUUGACAGAUUUCCAGCAUAUUUCAACGGCCAAAAAAUAUAAGAAAAAAACAUAAAUGGAUUAAAAGCGUGACCGAGUCAACUGUCCUUUUGUACUACUAUCCUUGUCUUUUGUUGCAUUUUCUUCUGAUUUUGGUGACCCACGUCACGUACUAUGCCUCCAAUCGAGUGGAAAGAACAGACACAGGUUACACAUAAUGGCCGGCAUGGGCCAGGCCAAUGGCACAUGGCAUCUCACUUCCAUAGACUUACCACUAGUGUGAGAUGGACAGGUCCCGGUCGUCCUCCGACCCGUUGGCGAUAUUUUUCGUGACGCUCAUCUAAGAUGGCUCCUCCCUGAGGGCCUCUCGCUCCACAGGCCCUGGUUACCCGGCUCGGUUUUCACUCCACUAUACACUGUAAACCAUCAUCGAGUUCUUACAAGACGAGGACGUUCAUACUGGCAUGAUAGAUCAAUAUGUAUCCUGGCAGUCCAUUUUGCUGGCGGUCUUCCUUCUCUAAGAAUACGAGAGAGCCGGACUGGACCUGCUCCUCAUAGUUUCCCUUGGCUAAAAUGAGUAAUAAGGAUAAAAAUACUUGUAGGCAAUGGUUGCCAAAUUUUCAGAUCAAUGACAUGCAUUUUCAAGUAUUUACAUAAAUAUGAAGAUAUUAAUGGAUGGAAGUUGAUGGGUACUGUCACAUCAGGUAAGCAAUAUUUAUUCUGCUGUGGCAUAACCAUCACCCACGCGCUUCAGUGUGAAAGACAUGGUGACAGCUUUGUAUUACCAUGUUUUGUCUUACCGACCUUGGGAAUUUUGAUGUGUGAGUACCUCGUUUUCCAUAUUUUCAGGAACUGGUGACUUCUGUGAUUGU
This is a long non-coding RNA of Branchiostoma floridae (Florida lancelet), 1759 nucleotides long. RefSeq lists it as uncharacterized. The record is from RefSeq and is a predicted model, not a curated record. NCBI's taxonomy places the organism in Eukaryota, Metazoa, Chordata, Leptocardii, Amphioxiformes, Branchiostomatidae. The transcript is spliced from 2 exons.